Molecule: ribosomal RNA, 468 nt
Filed under: uncultured bacterium
Lineage: Bacteria
Description: partial 16S ribosomal RNA
Rfam family: Bacterial small subunit ribosomal RNA
Source: RNAcentral
GACGAACGCUGGCGGCGUGCUUAACACAUGCAAGUCGAACGGCAAGGCCCUGCUUUGGUGGGGUGCUCGAGUGGCGAACGGGUGAGUAACACGUGAGUAACCUGCCCUUGACUGUGGGAUAACUUCAGGAAACUGGGGCUAAUACCGGAUAGGAGCUCCUGCUGCAUGGUGGGGGUUGGAAAGUUUCGGCGGUUGGGGAUGGACUGGCGGCUUAUCAGCUUGUUGGUGGGGUAGUGGCUUACCAAGGCCUUGACGGGUAGCCGGCCUGAGAGGGUGACCAGCCACAUUGGGACUGAGAUACGGCCCAGACUCCUACGGGAGGCAGCGGUGGGGAGUAUUGCACAAUGGGCGGAAGCCUGAUGCAGCAACGCCGCGUGCGGGAUGACGGCCUUCGGGUUGUAAACCGCUUUCGCCUGUGACGAAGCGUGAGUGACGGUAAUGGGUAAAGAAGCACCGGCUAACUACGUG